GGGCGGGUAGCUCAGCGGCAGAGCAGAGGUUUUACACACCUCGGGUCGCAGGUUCGAUCCCUGUCCCGCCCA
RNAcentral lists this transfer RNA (72 nucleotides) under Sandaracinus amylolyticus. It matches the Rfam family "tRNA". Rfam says of the family: Transfer RNA (tRNA) molecules are approximately 80 nucleotides in length. Their secondary structure includes four short double-helical elements and three loops (D, anti-codon, and T loops). The record is from Rfam by way of RNAcentral. Lineage: Bacteria; Pseudomonadati; Myxococcota; Polyangiales; Sandaracinaceae.